UGAGGUGCUUGCACCUUAUCUUAGCGGCGGACGGGUGAGUAAUGCUUAGGAAUCUGCCAUUUAGUGGGGGACAACAUUCCGAAAGGAAUGCUAAUACCGCAUACGUCCUACGGGAGAAAGCAGGGGAUCUUCGGACCUUGCGCUAAAUGAUGAGCCUAAGUCGGAUUAGCUAGUUGGUGGGGUAAAGGCCUACCAAGGCGACGAUCUGUAGCGGGUCUGAGAGGAUGAUCCGCCACACUGGGACUGAGACACGGCCCAGACUCCUACGGGAGGCAGCAGUGGGGAAUAUUGGACAAUGGGCGGAAGCCUGAUCCAGCCAUGCCGCGUGUGUGAAGAAGGCCUUUUGGUUGUAAAGCACUUUAAGCGAGGAGGAGGCUACUAGUACUAAUACUACUGGAUAGUGGACGUUACUCGCAGAAUAAGCACCGGCUAACUCUGUGCCAGCAGCCGCGGUAAUACAGAGGGUGCGAGCGUUAAUCGGAUUUACUGGGCGUAAAGCGUGCGUAGGCGGCUUUUUAAGUCGGAUGUGAAAUCCCCGAGCUUAACUUGGGAAUUGCAUUCGAUACUGGGAAGCUAGAGUAUGGGAGAGGAUGGUAGAAUUCCAGGUGUAGCGGUGAAAUGCGUAGAGAUCUGGAGGAAUACCGAUGGCGAAGGCAGCCAUCUGGCCUAAUACUGACGCUGAGGUACGAAAGCAUGGGGAGCAAACAGGAUUAGAUACCCUGGUAGUCCAUGCCGUAAACGAUGUCUACUAGCCGUUGGGGCCUUUGAGGCUUUAGUGGCGCAGCUAACGCGAUAAGUAGACCGCCUGGGGAGUACGGUCGCAAGACUAAAACUCAAAUGAAUUGACGGGGGCCCGCACAAGCGGUGGAGCAUGUGGUUUAAUUCGAUGCAACGCGAAGAACCU
This 904-nucleotide ribosomal RNA is filed under the name uncultured bacterium. RNAcentral's name for it is "bacterial SSU rRNA". It matches the Rfam family "Bacterial small subunit ribosomal RNA", at positions 72 to 971 of the family's 1533-position model. The record is from RNAcentral.